GGCGGCGUGCCUAAUACAUGCAAGUAGAACGCUGAAGGAGGAGCUUGCUCUUCUGGAUGAGUUGCGAACGGGUGAGUAACGCGUAGGUAACCUGCCUGGUAGCGGGGGAUAACUAUUGGAAACGAUAGCUAAUACCGCAUAACAUUGACUAUUGCAUGAUAGUCAAUUGAAAGGUGCAAAUGCACCACUACCAGAUGGACCUGCGUUGUAUUAGCUAGUUGGUGGGGUAACGGCACACCAAGGCUACGAUACAUAGCCGACCUGAGAGGGUGAUCGGCCACACUGGGACUGAGACACGGCCCAGACUCCUACGGGAGGCAGCAGUAGGGAAUCUUCGGCAAUGGACGGAAGUCUGACCGAGCAACGCCGCGUGAGUGAAGAAGGUUUUCGGAUCGUAAAGCUCUGUUGUAAGAGAAGAACGAGUGUGAGAGUGGAAAGUUCACACUGUGACG
RNAcentral lists this ribosomal RNA (452 nucleotides) under Streptococcus cristatus. Its description in RNAcentral is "bacterial SSU rRNA". It matches the Rfam family "Bacterial small subunit ribosomal RNA", at positions 38 to 474 of the family's 1533-position model. Lineage: Bacteria; Bacillati; Bacillota; Bacilli; Lactobacillales; Streptococcaceae. The record is from RNAcentral.